This 469-nucleotide ribosomal RNA is filed under the name uncultured bacterium. RNAcentral's name for it is "partial 16S ribosomal RNA". It matches the Rfam family "Bacterial small subunit ribosomal RNA", at positions 28 to 507 of the family's 1533-position model. The record is from RNAcentral.
GACGAACGCUGGCGGCGUGCUUAACACAUGCAAGUCGAACGGAAAGGCCCUGCUUGCAGGGUGCUCGAGUGGCGAACGGGUGAGUAACACGUGGGUGAUCUGCCCCUUACUUUGGGAUAAGCCUGGGAAACUGGGUCCAAUACUGGAUAGGACCAUGCUGUAGGUGGUGUGGUGGAAAGAUUAGUUUCGGUAAGGGAUGAGCUCGCGGCCUAUCAGCUUGUUGGUGGGGUAAUGGCCUACCAAGGCGUCGACGGGUAGCCGGCCUGAGAGGGUGGACGGCCACAUUGGGACUGAGAUACGGCCCAGACUCCUACGGGAGGCAGCAGUGGGGAAUAUUGCACAAUGGGCGCAAGCCUGAUGCAGCGACGCCGCGUGGGGGAUGACGGCCUUCGGGUUGUAAACUCCUUUCAGCCAUGACGAAGCCCUUGUGGUGACGGUAGUGGUAGAAGAAGCACCGGCUAACUACGUG